UGGGGAAUAUUGGGCAAUGGGCGAAAGCCUGACCCAGCAACGCCGCGUGAAGGAAGAAGGUUUUCGGAUUGUAAACUUCUGUCCUCAGGGAAGAAGGAAGUGACGGUACCUGAGGAGGAAGCCCCGGCUAACUACGUGCCAGCAGCCGCGGUAAUACGUAGGGGGCGAGCGUUGUCCGGAAUGACUGGGCGUAAAGGGCGCGUAGACGGUUUUUUAAGUCUGGAGUGAAAGUCCUGCUUUCAAGGUGGGAAUUGCUUUGGAGACUGGAAGGCUUGAGUGCGGAAGAGGUAAGUGGAAUUCCCAGUGUAGCGGUGAAAUGCGUAGAGAUUGGGAAGAACACCAGUGGCGAAGGCGACUUACUGGGCCGUAACUGACGUUGAUGCGCGAAAGCGUGGGGAGCGAACA
Molecule: ribosomal RNA, 405 nt
Filed under: uncultured prokaryote
Description: bacterial SSU rRNA
Rfam family: Bacterial small subunit ribosomal RNA
Source: RNAcentral